GGGACGUGUCCCGUUUUGUAUGUACCUUAUGAAUAAGGAUCGGCUAACUCCGUGCCAGCAGCCGCGGUAAUACGGAGGAUCCGAGCGUUAUCCGGAUUUAUUGGGUUUAAAGGGUGCGUAGGCGGCCUUUUAAGUCAGCGGUGAAAGUCUGUGGCUCAACCAUAGAAUUGCCGUUGAAACUGGGGGGCUUGAGUAUGUUUGAGGCAGGCGGAAUGCGUGGUGUAGCGGUGAAAUGCUUAGAUAUCACGCAGAACCCCGAUUGCGAAGGCAGCCUGCCAAGCCAUGACUGACGCUGAUGCACGAAAGCGUGGGGAUCAAACAGGAUUAGAUACCCUGGUAGUCCACGCAGUAAACGAUGAUCACUAGCUGUUUGCGAUACACAGUAAGCGGCACAGCGAAAGCGUUAAGUGAUCCACCUGGGGAGUACGCCGGCAACGGUGAAACUCAAAGGAAUUGACGGGGGCCCGCACAAGCGGAGGAACAUGUGGUUUAAUUCGAUGAUACGCGAGGAACCUUACCCGGGUUUGAACGCAUUCGGACCGAGGUGGAAACACCUUUUCUAGCAAUAGCCGUUUGCGAGGUGCUGCAUGGUUGUCGUCAGCUCGUGCCGUGAGGUGUCGGCUUAAGUGCCAUAACGAGCGCAACCCUUGCCACUAGUUACUAACAGGUGAUGCUGAGGACUCUGGUGGGACUGCCAGCGUAAGCUGCGAGGAAGGCGGGGAUGACGUCAAAUCAGCACGGCCCUUACAUCCGGGGCGACACACGUGUUACAAUGGCGUGGACAAAGGGAAGCCACCUGGCGACAGGGAGCGAAUCCCCAAACCACGUCUCAGUUCGGAUCGGAGUCUGCAACCCGACUCCGUGAAGCUGGAUUCGCUAGUAAUCGCGCAUCAGCCAUGGCGCGGUGAAUACGUUCCCGGGCCUUGUACACACCGCCCGUCAAGCCAUGGGAGCCGGGGGUACCUGAAGUCCGUAACCGCGAGGAUCGGCCUAGGGUAAAACUGGUGACUGGGGCUAAGUCGUAACAAGGUAGCCGUACCGGAAGGUGCGGCUGGAACACCUCCUUUCU
RNAcentral lists this ribosomal RNA (1069 nucleotides) under Salmonella enterica subsp. enterica. RNAcentral's name for it is "bacterial SSU rRNA". It matches the Rfam family "Bacterial small subunit ribosomal RNA", at positions 455 to 1533 of the family's 1533-position model. Lineage: Bacteria; Pseudomonadati; Pseudomonadota; Gammaproteobacteria; Enterobacterales; Enterobacteriaceae. The record is from RNAcentral.